This 112-nucleotide ribosomal RNA is filed under the name Octodon degus (degu). The record is from RNAcentral. Lineage: Eukaryota; Metazoa; Chordata; Mammalia; Rodentia; Octodontidae.
UCCUAUGGCCCUUCCACCCUGAGUGCACUGGAUCUCUUCUGAUCUCAGAAGCCAAGCAGGGUCAGGCCUGGUUAGUACUUGGAAGGGAGAAAUCCCACCCAAGACUUAGGAC